GGGCGAGCGCGGUCUAAUCAUGCAGUCGAGCGGACGAUGGGAGCUUGCUCCCUGAUGUUAGCGGCGGACGGGUGAGUACACGUGGGUAACCUGCCUGUAAGACUGGGAUAACUCCGGGAAACCGGGGCUAAUACCGGAUGGUUGUUUGAACCGCAUGGUUCAGACAUAAAAGGUGGCUUCGGCUACCACUUACAGAUGGACCCGCGGCGCAUUAGCUAGUUGGUGAGGUAACGGCUCACCAAGGCGACGAUGCGUAGCCGACCUGAGAGGGUGAUCGGCCACACUGGGACUGAGACACGGCCCAGACUCCUACGGGAGGCAGCAGUAGGGAAUCUUCCGCAAUGGACGAAAGUCUGACGGAGCAACGCCGCGUGAGUGAUGAAGGUUUUCGGAUCGUAAAGCUCUGUUGUUAGGGAAGAACAAGUGCCGUUCAAAUAGGGCGGCACCUUGACGGUACCUAACCAGAAAGCCACGGCUAACUACGUGCCAGCAGCCGCGGUAAUACGUAGGUGGCAAGCGUUGUCCGGAAUUAUUGGGCGUAAAGGGCUCGCAGGCGGUUUCUUAAGUCUGAUGUGAAAGCCCCCGGCUCAACCGGGGAGGGUCAUUGGAAACUGGGGAACUUGAGUGCAGAAGAGGAGAGUGGAAUUCCACGUGUAGCGGUGAAAUGCGUAGAGAUGUGGAGGAACACCAGUGGCGAAGGCGACUCUCUGGUCUGUAACUGACGCUGAGGAGCGAAAGCG
Molecule: ribosomal RNA, 740 nt
Filed under: Bacillus sp. enrichment culture clone SRC_MC5A
Lineage: Bacteria; Bacillati; Bacillota; Bacilli; Caryophanales; Bacillaceae
Description: bacterial SSU rRNA
Rfam family: Bacterial small subunit ribosomal RNA
Source: RNAcentral